CUGGGUAGAGGGAGGCCAAUUAAAGAAAGACGUGGUCUUGUUUUGAUUCUGGGCCCGUAAAUUGGCACUGGAGGAUCUUCUACUUAGUACGCAGCAUUCCAGGAUCCUUGAAAUAGCAGCCCUGGCCACCAAUGGUAUGCAACCCCCACUUCUGUCAGGCCAUCUUUUCGGGGGCCCCCAGCCUGACAGUUGAGCUUCCUGCACACAGAAGAGCUUCCUGCCCCAGCCAGGCAGAAAGUCAGGUCAAGUUCCCAUGACACAAAAUGAGACGCACAAGAAGGCCGUAGCUGUCCCUGGGAGAGAAAGUCUCCACAACCAGUGGGUACACGAAAGCCAAUUCUUGAGGCACAUUUCAAAGAUUUAAUUCUUACAAGUUGGGUGGUUUUUUUUUUUUUUUUUUUUUUUUUUGCCACCAACCUGAAAAGAAAGGCUGAUGUGACAUUUUCCCUCCCCCUCUCCACCAGGAGCCACAAAGGGAGACCUAGGAGAGCAGACUUGGAUAAGAACUCUUACCUUGUGCUGGCUUCCCCCAGGAUCCUGCACGCUCUGGAGCAAGCGGGGUGUCCCAGCGGGUCUCUUCCUGGUCAUGAGAAACCGAAGAGGAGGAAAAUGUUUUCCUCCUACGCUUUAUGGUGAGUGUUCAGCAGAGACCCCUUUUUCUCCAGGGUGCCUCAUACUUGGAUAAGCUGAUCCAGGUUAAAAAUUCUCAGCUGAGGCUGCUGUAAUUCAGAAUUAUCCUGGGUAAGUUUAACCUGCUUAUUUGAGCUCAAAAGAAAAUGUUAUUCACCUGACUGACCCCUCACACUGGCCCCAGACCAGCUUAAGUAGGACCCAGUCUGACCUGGAACCAUGUCCGUGGUCUGACCUUCAAAAUGGUCCCAUUUCUAAGUCGGGUCCAAUUCAAUUCCAGCAGGUUUCCAGACCAAGGCUGGAAAAGGAAAUGUUCAAAAAAACAAAACAAAACAAAAAAAUGUUCCUAUGAUUCCAGUUUGCAUGGAAUAUUUUCUUCCAUCCUCUCAGUUUCAAUUAGUAUGUGUUCCUAGAAGUGAAGUGGGUCUCUUGAAGACAGCGUGUGCGUGGGUCUUGUUUUUGCAUCCAUUCAGGGUAUGUCUUUUGGGUGGGGCAUUUAGUCCAAUUACAUUUAAGGUAAUUAUUUAUAUGUGUUCUUAUUGCAAUUUUACUAACUUUACAGACAAGCAAAAGCUAAGAGAAUUCAGCACCACUAAACCAGCUUUACAACGAAUAGUAAAGGAACAUCUCUAGAUGGAAAAGAGAAGACCACAGCUAGAAACAGAAAUAUUACAAAUGACAAGACUCACCAGUAAAGGCACACAUAGAGUAAAGGUAGGAAAUUCCACGGUUUACCUGUAUCCUGGGUGAUUCUUCUGCAUUAUUUGAGAGCCUUGGGUUUUUACUUUCUCUGAUAGCAAGCUACUCUAAUUUAUGUGACUCUAUUAUACUUUAAUAUUCUGUAGGGCUUCUCCCUCAGUUUUCUUAAUUUUCUUGGCUAGUUCUGCAUGUUUAACUGAUCAAAAUUUAAGUUUUAUUUUCAAAUUAUUUUGUUUCAGGUUAUGUUUAUUCAGUAGAUUAACUUAGAGAGAAUUAACACCUUUACAAUGUGCAUUUUUGGUUUCCGCAAACAAGUUACGUGUUUCCAUUAUUCAAGGCUUUUUAACAUUUAGAAUGGUUUUAAGUAUAAAUACCUAGUGGGGUUUUAAAGUUUUCUUUAUAUAAUCCCUGCAUGAUUCUUGUUAAGUUUCUUCCUAAAUGUUUUAUCUUCUUUUGUUGUAUUGAUUAUAAGAUCAAUUUAUAUUCAAUUUUUCUAAUACAUUUUGAUUUAUAUAUUAAAAAGCUGUUGCUUUUAAAUUUUAAUUUUGUAAUUAGUCUCCUGCUUCACUUUAAAAAAUUGUUUCUAAUUGUUUUUUUUUUUCAGUCCUCAUUUGUUUUCUAAAUGUAUAGUCAUAUGUACUGCAAAAAUAAUUAUUUUGUCUUUUCUGUCUUACGAUUUUUAUUUCUGGUUUCUCUUUCCAAGUGCCCUGACUUUCAGAAUAGCACUCUGCUGUUCCGCAAUUUGGAACUGGUCCUGUGGGCAUCUUUAUUUCUCCUUGCUGGUCUAUGCCCACAACCCUUCCAGCCUAAGGAAAUGAUUUUAGGGCCUUACACAACAUUUACUUCUUGAAUAUUCUUCCCCAAAGUGUGGAAGAUUAUAUCGUCUCUGAUUUGCUCCUUAGUGCACAGUGUUUGGUGAAUAUUUUUCUUAAUUUGUGUUUUAAAUUUGUAGCUGUUUUUCCUAUGUAGUGAAGAUGCUGUAUAUUUUUUUGUUGUUGUUUUCCUGUAGAAUAUAGUACUUUAGCUAAUUAUCACAGGAAGUCUUCUAAAUCAGCUUUUAAAAGAUCUACUGGAAAUAUGUAUUAUUUGGAUUUGAAUUUCUUUUUUCUUUUUUAAAGAAAUUUACAUAGUCAAAUAUGUAAAUUUUUUUCUGUGUAACUUUUUUCAUCGUUGUUAGAGGAGGUUGCAGAAUGUAAGUAAUUGUUGAAGCUGAAUAAUAGAAACACAGGACUUGCAAUUGUAUGUUUAUACAUUUUCAAAAUAAAAUAGUUCAAGGCAUUAACUACAAAAAGGUCAUUCUCUACUUUGAGAUCUGACAAACAUUUAUCAAAUAUUUUCUCUAUGACUUUAUUUUCAGUUAAUUCUUUCAAUAACUUAGAUUUUUUUUUUUUGGUAUGAUGUUGGGUGAGCAUAUGGUAUUUCCCCUCUCAAAGAGGUAAUCAAUUUUCCCAGUGCUAUUCUUUGAACCACAAAAGCUGUAAGCAGAUUAGGCCUGGAAUCAAGGCUGCAUCCUCAUGGAUACUAGUUGAAUUCAUAACCCACUGAGUCACAACAGGAGCUCCUGAUUUACUCCCUCUCUGUCCUCACUCCCCAGACAGACUUAUGAUGCUACUUCCAUUGACAUCUAAUUUCAUUGGACAAAUCUAUUUCUGGACAAUUUAUUUAUUUCUAUUUAUCUAUUUGUCAAUGCUUACAUAAUAAUCUACUUACAGCUUUUGUGGUUUUUAACUAAUUUUAGCAUUGGUCAUAGCAAAUCUCUCUCAUUACUUUUCUUUUUAAACAUUUUCUUGGAUCUUUUAACCCAUUCACUCUUCUUGAUAAAAUUUGGGACCAUUCUGUCAAUUU
RNAcentral lists this long non-coding RNA (3174 nucleotides) under Sus scrofa (pig). RNAcentral describes it as "lncRNA (ENSSSCG00000051835.1)". Lineage: Eukaryota; Metazoa; Chordata; Mammalia; Artiodactyla; Suidae. The record is from RNAcentral.